RNAcentral lists this ribosomal RNA (253 nucleotides) under uncultured bacterium. RNAcentral's name for it is "partial 16S ribosomal RNA". It matches the Rfam family "Bacterial small subunit ribosomal RNA", at positions 524 to 776 of the family's 1533-position model. The record is from RNAcentral.
UACGUAGGGCGCGAGCGUUGUCCGGAUUUAUUGGGCGUAAAGGGCUUGUAGGCGGCUUGUCGCGUCGGAUGUGAAAACCCGUGGCUCAACUGCGGGCCUGCAUUCGAUACGGGCUGGCUAGAGUACGGCAGGGGAGACUGGAAUUCCUGGUGUAGCGGUGAAAUGCGCAGAUAUCAGGAGGAACACCGGUGGCGAAGGCGGGUCUCUGGGCCGAUACUGACGCUGAGGAGCGAAAGCGUGGGGAGCGAACAGG